Molecule: long non-coding RNA, 658 nt
Filed under: Trifolium pratense (red clover)
Lineage: Eukaryota; Viridiplantae; Streptophyta; Magnoliopsida; Fabales; Fabaceae
Description: long non-coding RNA (TPRA_LNC012366)
Source: RNAcentral
UUUGCCUACUACUUUUUAGUGCAUUAAAUAAAUUUGAAGGUCUGACAUACAAAAAUUGAUGCAUUGAAAGAAAUAUAAAAGUACCACAUAAUUAAAAGUACCAACAUUAUAGCUCUGAUGACAACAACAUUGCAUUAUAUAUGCAGGGGGUCGAAGUUCGAAUCUCAAUCAUCUCACUUAUCCACUUUGAGGAUGAAAUUUCUAUCCACUAAGCUACUUAAAAAAAUACCAACAUUUUUAUUGCAAAGACGUUUAUAUAUUCUUAAAAGUACCAUUUAAUUAUAUUUGAACUUAACAACUACCAUUACACACAUCGGCAAACACCCCAUAUGCAAUGUGAAUGUUCAUGAUAGAGACACUCAUUUUCAGGACAUUCUUCAUCAUGUUCGCAUAAAUAAAUUCCUAUGACAUCAAAUAUGAAAAAAGAAUGUUAAUAAUAUGGAAUGAUACAUUGUAUAUUUAAAUAAAAGUAAAAUAAGAUAAAGAAGAAAUAUGAAUUUUUUUAGAAUAUAUAUAGACUUACCAUUAGUUACAAUCAUACACAUGAAAAGGAAAAUAAUCAUAACAUAAAUAAACUUUAGAAUUUCUGCCAUAUUUUUAUUCUCGUUUGUAUGUAGAAAUAAAAUUUGGAUGAUCACUUUAUAGGGUGAAAAAUACC